GACAGUGUGGUGUAGUGGUUUGGGCAUUGGACUGGGACCCUAGAGGCCAAGGUGUGAAUCCUUGCUCAGUCA
Phrynosoma platyrhinos (Desert horned lizard) is the source of this 72-nucleotide non-coding RNA. Lineage: Eukaryota; Metazoa; Chordata; Lepidosauria; Squamata; Phrynosomatidae. The record is from the annotation of a GenBank genome assembly.